Molecule: long non-coding RNA, 1690 nt
Filed under: Manacus vitellinus (golden-collared manakin)
Lineage: Eukaryota; Metazoa; Chordata; Aves; Passeriformes; Pipridae
Description: lncRNA (ENSMVIG00005019433.1)
Source: RNAcentral
GAUCACGUGCUGGGUGUUCUGGCAAGGACAGGAACGUGCACGAGGGUGCUCCUCUUCUGUCAAGGCUUUGUUUGAAGAGCAGUCUGAAAACAUCAGUGUAUAUUGGGAUGAAGUACUAGUAAAACAUAUGUUUAUAAAAACUGCUUUUCUCCAAACAUUUUCAAUUAUCUUAUGAAUUACCUGGACAAAAGAGUUUUCCCUCCCAGCCCUGUUUUCAAGCUGUCCCUGCUGAGGAGGGGGUUGUAAGUCACACAUCUGUCUGGCAAGUAUUUUCAUUUCAGUGUUCUAAAAGUUUUUAAUUCAAGAUGAUGGUGAGCUGUUUUAAUGUAGAAAUUGGCUUUAAGGUUACAUCAGGAGCAGUUAGAGAAACCCACUUCUUUCUGAUGGGGAAAACAACAUGUAUUUUAAGUGGCCUUUUGGUAAGGCAGUUUAACAAUUAAACAUCAGGAGAAAGGCCAUAAUCUUAAUGAAUUCUGUUUCUAAUAAUCCCUGUGCACAUGACUUGAUGUAAUUUAAGACUAACAGAAAAAGCACAAGAUAGUACUCUUAACAGUACUUUUUCUUGAGCUAUUAACUGUUAGGAUGGGUGAAAACAUCAUUCUAUGUAACAUAAUUUAAUCAAAAUUAUAAAUAUUGGGGCCUCCUCGUGAUCCAUGUAAAUCAGCAUAGCUGUGGUCCUAUAUUUUAUUAUUUUUAAGUUCUGAAGAGGAAGGAAUGUGUGUCUGCCUACAGUGAUUCUGACAGACUUUUCUUCUGAUUUCAGGUGAGAAUUUACAUCUGUGGAACACAACCAGUAAUUUAACAGGUUUAAUGACUGUAGUUGCUAUGACUGCUACAACUUGCCAGCUGGCUAAAGAUGAAAUAUAUUUCAACACAAGCAAUUGGGCUUUAUUAUAACACCGGGACCAGUUUGGCUCCAGCCUACAAACCUCUGCAGCUCUGGCACGUGGAGACAAAGGACAAGGUGUUUCCAAGCAUGUUGAGGCUUAAUGAGACCUGUGUGUUGGCAACUUUGGUCCCAAACUGAAGUGUAGGACUGAUAGCUGGAAUGCAGCAUGGUGGAAUACUGCAUUUUGGGGACAUUGGGCUGGGAUAUCCUUGGAUUGUGGUAAGUAAGAGGCUGUGUUGGGAAGCCAGCUCCUUCCAGAGGAAGCUGGAGUCCCCCUGUGAGUAGGAUGGAGGUGGUAUGGACUUGUGAACAUUGAGAUGCUGCUCCUGUGUGCUCACAAGGAAGCUGAACCACCCCUUCCUUUGGCUUGGUGCAUUUCAGGUGGAAAAGCCUCCAGUUUUCCUUCCCCAAAAGAACGAGAUCCCAGCUCACUUGAAAGCUGGUGCUUUCUCAGCAGGCAUAGGCACUCCUAGGAAAACAAGUUCUCAGUGGUGGAUUAUUUGCAGUCUUGCAGAAGGGAAGUUUUCAGUUAAAAAUGAUGGUUUGUCUCUCAUGGAGUUAUUAACAAUGAGUCCCUAUGUUUUUGCACUACAGCAAUAGUUCAGGGAACUGUGGGAUACAGAGACUUUAACUGCUGAGCACCUUGUAGCAGGAAUAUGUUGUACCUCCACCAGCCACUAUUUAAACUUUGGCAAAUCAGAAUCCUAGAUUAUAAACAUGUUACCAUGCUUACAUUGAACAUCCUGUAUGAAUUUAACUGUACACGUUUGAUUUAGUUAAUAAAAUACAGCAUUUUGUGCA